AUCUACAGCCCUACCACCCUGAAGGUACCUGAUCUUGUCUGAUCUUGGAAGCUAAGCAGGGUCAGGCCUGGUUAGUACUUGGAUGGGAGACCUCCUGGGAAUACCAGGUGCUGUAGUAG
Molecule: ribosomal RNA, 119 nt
Filed under: Microcebus murinus (gray mouse lemur)
Lineage: Eukaryota; Metazoa; Chordata; Mammalia; Primates; Cheirogaleidae
Source: RNAcentral